AUUGAACGCUGGCGGCAUGCUUUACACAUGCAAGUCGAACGGCAGCGCGGGCUUCGGCCUGGCGUCGAGUGGCGAACGGGUGAGUAAUACAUCUGAACGUGCCCAGUCGUGUGGGAUAGCUCGGCGAAAGCCGGAUUAAUACCGCAUACGACCUGCGUGUGAAAGCGGGGGAUCUUCGGACCUCGCGCUAUUUGAGCGGCCGAUGGCAGAUUAGCUAUUUGGUGGGGUAAAGGCCUACCAAGGCGACGAUCUGUAGCUGGUGUGAGAGGACGACCAGCCACACUGGGACGGAGACACGGCCCAGACUCCUACGGGAGGCAGCAGUGGGGAAUUUUGGACAAUGGGCGAAAGCCUGAUCCAGCAAUGCCGCGUGUGUGAUGAAGGCCUUCGGGUUGUAAAGCACUUUUGGCGGGAACGAAAAGGACUGUGCCAAUACCACGGUUCGAUGACGGUACCCGCAGAAUAAGCACCGGCUAACUACGUG
Molecule: ribosomal RNA, 484 nt
Filed under: uncultured bacterium
Lineage: Bacteria
Description: partial 16S ribosomal RNA
Rfam family: Bacterial small subunit ribosomal RNA
Source: RNAcentral